GCUAUUCGGCAGCUACACAUGCAGUCGAGCGGUAGAGGUCUUUCUGUUUCUUGUCUGCGGGGUAGGGGGGCGGAUCACGUGUGCGACCUGCCUUUUUCUGGGGGAACGCCUUUCCAAAGGGAAAGUAAUACCCCAUAAUAUACUGCAUGGCAAAUUCGGGAUUGACAACUCUUGUGCAUAUAGAUGGGCAUGCGCCAGAUUAGAUAGUUGGUGAGGUAACGGCUCACCAAGUCUGCGAUCUUUAGGGGGCCUGAGAGGGUGAUCCCCCACACUGGUACUGAGACACGGACCAGACUCCUACGGGAGGCAGCAGUGAGGAAUAUUGGACAAUGGGUGAAAGCCUGAUCCAGCCAUCCCGCGUGAGGGAAGACGGCCCUAUGGUUUGUAAACUUUUUUUGUAUAGGGAAAAACCUUUCCGCUUGUGGCAAGCUGAAGGGACUAUACCAAUAAGCACCGGCUAACUCCGUGCCGGCGCCCGCACCCCAACAC
This 489-nucleotide ribosomal RNA is filed under the name Chryseobacterium sp. RNAcentral describes it as "partial 16S ribosomal RNA". It matches the Rfam family "Bacterial small subunit ribosomal RNA", at positions 39 to 526 of the family's 1533-position model. Lineage: Bacteria; Pseudomonadati; Bacteroidota; Flavobacteriia; Flavobacteriales; Weeksellaceae. The record is from RNAcentral.